This 253-nucleotide unclassified non-coding RNA is filed under the name uncultured Planctomycetota bacterium. Its description in RNAcentral is "uncultured planctomycete contains 16S-23S intergenic spacer region". It matches the Rfam family "Bacterial small subunit ribosomal RNA", at positions 524 to 776 of the family's 1533-position model. Lineage: Bacteria; Pseudomonadati; Planctomycetota. The record is from RNAcentral.
CACGUAUGGUGCAAACGUUGUUCGGAAUUACUGGGCCUAAAGAGCGCGUAGGCGGUUUGGUAAGUCAGGUGUGAAAUCCCUCGGCUCAACCGAGGAACUGCACCUGAUACUGCCUGACUAGAGUGCAGGAGGGGAGAGUGGAAUUCCUGGUGGAGCGGUGAAAUGCGUAGAUAUCAGGAGGAACGCCGGCGGCGAAAGCGACUCUCUGGCCUGCUACUGACGCUGAGGCGCGAAAGCUAGGGGAGCAAACGGG